CAUAAGACGUACAGCCUGCCCAGUGACUCUGUUUAACGGCCGCGGUAUCCUAACCGUGCGAAGGUAGCGUAAUCACUUGUUCUUUAAAUGAGGACUAGUAUGAAUGGCAUCACGAGGGUUAUACUGUCUCCUUCUCCUAAUCAGUGAAACUAAUCUUCCCGUGAAGAAGCGGGAAUAAGAAUAUAAGACGAGAAGACCCUAUGGAGCUUUAAACUAUAUUACAUUUGCCAAAAACAUUUUAAUUCCAGAAAAAUAAACCUAUCCGAGCAUUAUGAUAAUUAGUUUUGGGUUGGGGUGACCGCGGAGUAAAACUCACCCUCCGCAUUGAACAAGACUGCUUCUUUAGCCAAAAGCUACGACUUUAAGCAUCAAUAAAUUGACAUUAUUGACCCAAUAUUUUGAUCAACGAACCAAGUUACCCUAGGGAUAACAGCGCAAUCCACUUCAAGAGCUCCUAUCGACAAGUGGGUUUACGACCUCGAUGUUGGAUCAGGGUAUCCCAGUGGUGCAGCCGCUACUAAAGGUUCGUUU
This 531-nucleotide ribosomal RNA is filed under the name Cyclorana alboguttata (green-striped burrowing frog). RNAcentral's name for it is "partial 16S ribosomal RNA". It matches the Rfam family "Bacterial large subunit ribosomal RNA", at positions 1844 to 2578 of the family's 2925-position model. The record is from RNAcentral. Lineage: Eukaryota; Metazoa; Chordata; Amphibia; Anura; Pelodryadidae.